UUGGAGAAACAGUUUACUAGUCUGUUGGGGGUUGGCAGCUACCAAAGAAGCUGGAGGUGGAUGAUCUGUGCUCCUGUGGACAUUUUUGGAUCAUCCUACAAGGAGCCCUCAGAAGCAGGAAGGGGAUAAGAGGUUUUCAAUACCCUUAGGUGGACUAAGGGACAAUAUUGGGAGCUCCAGCCAUUCUCUGGACCAUCUAGGACUCCUCAUCAUCCAGCCUCUCCUUGCCAAAAGACUCUAUAUGGGAAGAAAGCGAGACUCAGAAAGGCACAGCAACUUGCCCAUGGUACCCAAUGAGGGACAGAGACAAGAGGAAGAAAAAGAAACAAGAAUUUAUUCAUCACCUGCUCUGUGCCAGAAGUGAGUUUCUCCUGGCUCCUGCAACUCUCUCCCAGAAAUAAGGAAGAUGACAACUUCCAUAUAUUAACUUUCCCUAAUCUUCACAUUCCCCUGAGAUGACUUGCAUUAGAUCCUCCCAGGAAACAAAAAUCAUGAAGCCACUGUAUCUCCAGUGAGGGAACUUUGGACCAGCCACUCUUCGAGGUUACAUUCUACUUGCUAGCAAGAAGCAUUGAUUGGUGGAUUGAUGUUCUAUUUCAGACUGCAAAGAAGGGAAUCUCACACCAAGUUGUGCUGAAUGGGGUUGCCACUUGAGGGACCACAGAUGAAUGGAGCCCACAGGGCUACUGAUUUCCACCUGAUCCUGUGUAUUUUUCAAUAGGUGCCUCUAAUCUUGAGAGUUUCUCAUGUAAAUCAAUUCCCCCUUUUUAAUCUGAUCCUGAACACGGAUAGGUUGGUCCCUUUGGAUAAUUCAGGAGGUUUACUUGGUUUCCACUGAAUAUUGAAUAUUGAGCCAGGAGCUCAGGAUAACACCAGGCAUUACUACAAUGACACUCCUACAUCCCUAAACAUAUUUUUGCCUAAUAUUUCAACACUUCCAUUUCCCCCACUUUACCCAAAGUACUUCCUCAAAUUCUGUUAGAAAUUACAAGGAUACCCAAAGACUUUGUUUGUACCCUCAACUUGCCUUCAAUUGAAUGAUUCUCCAGCAGUUUACAAUUAAAACGCAUUAUGCUUUGGGUUUUUUUAAAGGUCCUGAAAUUAUAAAUGCUGGGGUCUAAAGUCAUCUUUACAUGCUCAAGGGGAAUCUUUACUCUCAUCUCAGGAAUAUAUCUUUCAAUUUUUUAUGUUAAUUGUGCUUAGCUUCUUGGCCUUCCAUAUACAGUUGAAUAUCUUUUUGCUUUAGUUCUUUCCCUAAUUAGUGUGUGAAACUCUGGGCAUUUUUUUUUUGUAUUUCAGUGUUAAAAAAAAAAAAGGACAUGAAUUCUAUAUGACAUAUCUGUGUGAACACAUUGCAAUGGGUUUCGUCUUUAUAAAUUAAGAUGAAUAGAAAAUUUAAAUCAAUCAACUAUUGGGCCUCACAGGCAAAAAGUAGCAAGUGUCUCUUUUCCCUCUUAAUAUGAACUGAUGAAACUUUUGAUUUCUUGGUUGAGGAUGGAUACUGACACCAAUAUCUCACGUAUCCAUACCUAGAGAGACUUUCUAAACUUUUUUUUAAAACUCUUUCUAGAAUUAAACUGAAUUUUGUAAAUAAUUAUAAUAAUAAUAAUCUCAAAUGAGGAGUAAGCUCCUAAAGGGAGAGACAGUCCCCUUAGCCACUAUGUUUCAGUCCAAAAGAGUGCGCACGAUACCCUUUUUUUACACCAAUUUAUUCAAUUUCCCACAAAGCAGGAAGGACCGCCACCAAAGCAAACUGCAAACUUGAAUGCAGCUUGCCAAGUUUAGUGUUGCUUACAGUUUUCUUCUUUACCCUCAAUCCUGUUACAAAUAAUGCAAACCUGUUUUUAUUAAUUUACAUUAAGUUCAUUUAACACCGAUGAAACAGACCAGAAAUGGAUAAUGAGGAACAUUUAACAAGCUCCUGCAUUAGGGCUAAUCAUGCUCUGUUUACGAGAGCUGAUCUCAUUCUCAGAGAAGAUCCCUAUAGAAUGAAUGUUGCAUCAGUAUUUAACAAGAAAAAAAAGAGGGGGGUGGGGGAAAAGUCACCAACUCCCCGAUAACAAAGAAAUGAACAAGCUUAAUAAUCUCCAAUUUGGUUUUCCACUCUACUUAAUGAUAUGGGCAAUGGGAGUUCGGUGGCCGGAGUCCAUGAGGAAACAGCCACAAGUACUGAAAAUUUAAUUAAAAGUCAGAAAGCCAUUGCAGUGAAGACUCAGCAGAAAGCCAUUUAUUUUUAAAAUCUAAUAUAUUCUUCAUGACUAAAGGCUAAAGCACAUGCUGACUUCCACAUUUAGCUGUAACUGAUUUAAGCCACUUGAUGGGUUUUUUUUCUUUCUUUCUUUUUCUUUUCUUUUUUUUCCCCCUCUGCUCACAGGGUGGUGCUCAAUUUGCAAUGGAGUAAAUUGGCAGAAUUUAAUUUGGUGGGUUUUUUUAACUCCAUAAGAAGAACCCUCAUUAAAGCCACACGAUCAGCUGUAUACUUUUUUUCAUCAUUAACUAGCCUAACUGCAGGUAAAAGAGAUACAAUUAUGGAUUUAUAUAAAUCCUAUUGUCAAUUUACAGCUGAAAGACUGGUGAGUUACCUCAUUUUAAAUAGGUUAUUUUUUCCCUUAACCUUUCUUUGUUUUAAUGAGGAUUUGGUUUGUCACUGUCUGAGGAGACUGUUUGCAAGAAAGUUUCUUGGAAAUUACAAGGAGGAAAAAGUAGAUGCAGAUGAAGACAUUUCGCUAAAUUUCAAAUCCACAUAGAAAUUCAUUUUCAGGGUAAUGUAUCUGUAGUAGAUGAGCUUUCCUGCCACACGAAAACUCUUGAGUUUGGGAACCGAGGCAGGCACCCAGGAGCAGGAAAUGAGGAAGCCAAAGGGAAAUUGACCUGGAAAGGAAGAAGGGAAAGACAAGAUGGUAAGACAGAAUUUGUCAUUGAAUUUCAAAAUUGGAAGGAAUCUCAAAAGUCAUCUAGCCUAGCCUGAAUUUGAACAAGAGGCCCUCUAGAGAGCACCCAACAAGUGGAAAUAUAGCCUUUACUUAAGGAUAUCUGGCAAAGGACUCCAUGCUACACCAUCUGGAGUUUUCGUGGCAAAGAUACUGCAGCGAUUUGCCAUUUCUUUCUCCAGCUCAUUUGGCAGAUGAGGAAACUGAGGUCAACAGGGUUAGAUGACUUGCACAGGGUCUCAUAACUGGUAAGUGUCCAGAGGCCAGAUUUAAGCUCAGAAAGACUUGUCUUCCUGACUUCAGACCUAGUACUCUAGCCAUUGCAACACCUAGCUGCCUGAGACUCUCUUUAAACCUUCUCUACACCUUUGAUUCAUAGAAAUACAUAGUAGAAACCUUCUAUCCUUGUUGCUUUCUUGCCUCUUUUUAUGUAUUCUCUCCCCUUUUAGAUUGAAAGUUUUCUAAGGGCAGGACUGCUUUUCUUCUCAUUAAUUGUAACCCCAGAGCUCAGCAUGGUGCCAACCUAAUAAUAAAUGUUGAUUGAAUUGGA
Non-coding RNA from Monodelphis domestica (gray short-tailed opossum), 3480 nucleotides. NCBI's taxonomy places the organism in Eukaryota, Metazoa, Chordata, Mammalia, Didelphimorphia, Didelphidae. The record is from RefSeq and is a predicted model, not a curated record.